Molecule: unclassified non-coding RNA, 340 nt
Filed under: root metagenome
Description: partial contains small subunit ribosomal RNA, internal transcribed spacer 1, and 5.8S ribosomal RNA
Source: RNAcentral
UUUCCGUAGGUCAACCUGCGGAAGGAUCAUUGACGAACCCUGCAUAGCAGAACAACCAGCGAACACAUUGAAAAACACAUUUGGGGGAUGCGUGCAUGGGACAAGGCAACAGCCCCCCAUGCAUGCGGCCCCUUCCUUGUGGUGUCGGAGCAAUCGAGCGAAAGCGCGUGAGCUUUGUCCCCCAAGAAACAAAACCCCAGCGCAAUUCGCGCCAAGGAAAACUUUAAACUCAAGGACGUGCUCUCCUCACGUUGCCCCCGUUUACGGGUGCGCGACUGGGUGUUUGCCAACUCCUUAGUGAAAACACAAACGACUCUCUACAAUGGAUAUCUCGGCUCUC